Parasteatoda tepidariorum (common house spider) is the source of this 324-nucleotide non-coding RNA. The record is from RefSeq and is a predicted model, not a curated record. NCBI's taxonomy places the organism in Eukaryota, Metazoa, Arthropoda, Arachnida, Araneae, Theridiidae.
GGCGCGACGGUCUCAUUUGUUGAGAUCGAUUCUCCUCUUCCCAAAUCCUUUCUCAUUGUGUUUUUAUGAUACCUGGACACAUCAGAUAGAACAUGUUUGUGAAGAGUGAUAGUUUUGAAAUUUAAAAGUUGUGCAUUUCGAUGGGGUGCUCUCUUAUCAGGACUUCUGAAGACGAGGAAUCUUCUCUUCCAGGAAGGUUGCUGCAUUUAAUAGGGAAUGUGGCCGACAACAAUUUCUGUGAUCUUCAAGUUAAAGUAAACAAAUUCGUAAGUAUCUCUCUCUAUCUCUUUGUCUAAAUAUUAUCGAUCUUUAUGAGAAGUUUCC